CGGGGUGAGUAAUGUAUGGGGAUCUGCCUGAUGGCGGGGGAUAACUACUGGAAACGGUAGCCAAUACCGCAUAAUGUCUACGGACCAAAGCGGGGGACCUCCGGGCCUCGCGCCAUCAGAUGAACCCAUAUGGGAUUAGCUUGUAGGUAAGGUAACGGCUUACCUAGGCGACGAUCCCUAGCUGGUCUGAGAGGAUGAUCAGCCACACUGGGACUGAGACACGGCCCAG
Molecule: ribosomal RNA, 229 nt
Filed under: uncultured bacterium
Lineage: Bacteria
Description: partial 16S ribosomal RNA
Rfam family: Bacterial small subunit ribosomal RNA
Source: RNAcentral